UUUGUAGCUAGGAUCUCCAUUUUCAUUUCCCCAGAUGGAGAGAGCCUAUUGAUUUCUGAAGGAUCUUCCCUGGGUAGAAGGAAUGAGAAUCCCUAGGUUGCUGGAGUGAUAAAGGGGAGUCAUUAAUUGUGAUUCUGUUGAAUGAAUUCCUGCCUUUGAGCUCCUUGAGGGUGGGGACUUCCUCUGGGGGCCUUCUGAACUUGUGACAGCACCUGCUGCGGGGGCUGGGUACACUGGACUGAUGGCAGACGUGCCCUAGGAAGGAGCCAGGCCUUGGUGGGUGUGCUGCGUUCCCACGGGGCCUGGCACAGAGGAAGCCUGAGAAAAGCACGCAGGUGGAGUGAGGGAAAACUGGCCUGUGGUGCUAACAAAACCCUGUCCUUAACACUUGACUCAGGUCGUACUUGACAGAUGGCAAUGGGACCGUGUAGAAAUGACCAUGAGUCACCUGCUGAGGGAAAGCUACCUGGGACAGAUUCCCCAGAAUAAGUACCAAGCAUUGGCUCCAGUUGCACUUUAAAAGCAGAAACAAAGUAACAAAGAUGAAAAUUCAAAAAGAAAAGAAGCAAUAUGACUAAAGUGAUGUCUUUCCUCAGUCAGAACUCGGAUAUCAGAAGAUUUAGUCUAUUCCUUUUAUACCAGAGGCAUAUUGUUAAAUUGGUUAAUGGAAAGGAAAAAUGUUUAACAGAUAAUGUUAUUCUUUAUGUGAAGUACCAUCUGUGUAUUGCAUUCUGAAUGUUCUGGAUAUGGAAGAGAGGAAGUGUUAUGGAAUUUCAAGUUUGCCUUCUUGCUGUCUUUAUCUUGGGUAGAGUAUGACAAACAUAAUCACAUUUAUCUCCUGGAGCAUAAAGAGUUUUAAUCACCCUAUUAACCAGGAUGACAUUUUUCACAGACUUAAAAAGGAAUAGAACAGACAUUAUCUCCCCAUAAGCAAUCCAUUUCAUGGAGGCUGAGCACUAGAAAUGCUUUGAAGGAGGGAUAACACAAGCCAUUUUCAUUUCCUGUCUCAGCCAACAUUAAGGAGGUUUUUGGCUUCCACUGGGUGAGUGUUAAGCUUUACACUUAGAAUCACAGUGCCCAAAGGGCUGCAAGAGGAAGUCAUAGGAGAAAGCAUGGCGGGCAGAGGUGACUUUCAACACUCUAUUCUUUCAAGAGAAAUGUGCAUCCUGGUAAGUUAUGUGUCCUCUCCACUGGCUGGUUUUUUGGUUUUUUGUUUUUGUUUUUUUUUUUUUUUUGGAGCCAAGAAAAUGUGAUUUUUGAACAACCUGAGAAUGGAAAAUAAGGACUGGGAACUAUCUCAGCAGCCUGCCACUAGAAGAAAGAAGGAUGGAUUCCAGUGAUAGGGACAGUAAGCAGAUGUCCUACAGCAAAGCCAAGAUGGGGCAGUAGGUGACCCUCCUCCAUCCUCAUUCCAACUCAGACAUCGACUGACAGUGGAAAGAAACCUGCCGUGCUCUCAUCUGAGCUACUGGGGAGGCUGAAGCAGGAGGUUCCCAAAUGCCAGGCCAAUCUGGCAACCCGAUAAGACCCUGUCUUGAAAUAAAAAGGGCUGUAGCUCAGAGAUCACCCCUGGGUUCAAUCCCCAGUACAACUAAUCAUCUCAAUCAUCUCACCUGCCAUACUUUAGUUCCAUGGAUGGUAUGGGGCUGAGCUUGCAAAUUAAUCAUUGCAACCUAAGGGAAAGACCGAAGAAAUCAGCGUCAGGGGGAGGGCCCAUUGGGACAAGAGUAAUUAAAAUCCACCGAAUUUAGCUAUUUCACUUCAGGCAAUAUUUAAUCUUCCAUAGGUCUGGUUUAUGGAGAAUGUUGUUUAUUUUCAUCUCAUUUCACGUAUCUUCUUUAAAACAAAUAGUUAAGUAUAGGAAAAGUACAAAAGUUUUCCUCAAAUAGUUGAAUUUCCUGUCACAGUAAGAUGCAUAUUUUAUAGCUUUUUUUGAUGUUUAGAAUUUUUCAUGUAGGUGUUUUUAUUUUCUGCCAAGAGUCACUGAAUGAUAGAGCAAGUACUGGGGCCUCUCUUGGUGUUAUCAGGAUUCAUUGUCAAAGGCUGUGAUUUCAUGAGCACAGAGAGAAGGAAAGCAAGCAUCUUGUUAGCAAAUUUUGUCUGACGACAGAUAACUCAGUUCUGGAGAAAAUUAGAAUCACAGUUAUCAUGGGGCUGGGGAUGUGGCUCAAGCGGUAGCGCGCUCGCCUGGCAUGCGUGCGGCCCGGGUUCGAUCCUCAGCACCACAUACAAAGAUGUUAUGUCCGCCAAUAACUAAAAAAUAAACAUUAAAAAUUCUCUCUCUCUCUCUCUCUCUCCCUCCUCUGUCUUUAAAAAAAAAAAAAAAGAAUCACAGUUAUCAGGAAGUAGAUACAGUUUCAGUAUUAGUGGAGUGAUUUAGGACCUUAAUUUACAUUUCUUACAUAAGCUGGAUCAGAUCCUUUGCCUCAUUACCAUUUGAUGAGGCAUGAACACUUACUUUAAAAAAUGGAACAAUAGUAAAAUAAUAACAGGCAAGUGAGUGUGUAAAUGUACUUAAAGACAUAAAGUCUAUCGUCACUGGACUCUCCUGAGAAGCUCCCUCAGGCAGAGUGGGAAAACUUGGUAUAUUCAUAACACCUAUUACCUGCUCAUCUGAAAACAAUUAAAAAGUCAGUCUUCCCCUGAUAUCCCAGGCUCAGGGUGGUUUUCCAGGUUUAGCCUGACAGGUGACACUCUGUGGGACACAUUUGGGAGGAUGUCUGAAACAUGAGGCUCUGGGCUGUACUCUCAGCAUGCAUGCCCUGCUUGAAAAGAACAAGUUGACCAAACAGUUGGUAAAAGAAAGCUCCAUUCGAUAGUCCUUCUGGAAUCGUGCCCCACCUUGUAGAGGCAGGUGAUGGGAAUGGGUUUAUUUUGUUGCUACUGGUUUUCUUCUCCAGCUGUCCCUGUGGUAGGGGUCGAGUUUCUCCACUUUUUGCCCCAAGCAGAGCCCAGAUGGUGGACAGCCAGGGGAGGGUGACCAACGGGUCCAUCAGGGCAGCCACCACCUGUACCCUUUCAUUUUUCUUCAUACAUGGUGGCCACAGCUGCUCAGGGACCUUCCUGCAAUUGAGAC
RNAcentral lists this long non-coding RNA (3076 nucleotides) under Marmota monax (woodchuck). Lineage: Eukaryota; Metazoa; Chordata; Mammalia; Rodentia; Sciuridae. The record is from RNAcentral.